RNAcentral lists this ribosomal RNA (400 nucleotides) under Bradyrhizobium sp. Ishi 7/12. RNAcentral describes it as "partial 23S ribosomal RNA". It matches the Rfam family "Bacterial large subunit ribosomal RNA", at positions 1 to 306 of the family's 2925-position model. The record is from RNAcentral. Lineage: Bacteria; Pseudomonadati; Pseudomonadota; Alphaproteobacteria; Hyphomicrobiales; Nitrobacteraceae.
AAUCAAGUGCCUUAAGGGUGUUCGGUGGAUGCCUUGGCGCUGAGAGGCGAUGAAGGACGUGCUACGCUGCGAUAAGCCGUGGGGAGCUGCGAAGAAGCUUUGAUCCACGGAUUUCCGAAUGGGGAAACCCACCUUCGAUAGCUGGAACUCCAAGAUUUUGUAUCUUGGGGUUCCCACAGCAAUGUUUGAGACCAAGCCGUGAGGUUUUGGAUUUCCAGUUAUCAAGUGAAGGUAUGAAAUCUCUGAAUUCAUAGGAGGUUUUAAGCGAACCCAGGGAACUGAAACAUCUAAGUACCUGGAGGAAAGGACAUCACUAGAGAGUCCGUUAGUAGUGGCGAGCGAACGCGGGCCACGCCACUGAGACAUCAAAGACAACCGCAGCCUCUCAGGAAAGCAGGGC